UUGUUGACUUCUUCCACAACGGCGAGAAGCUAGAUCUCCACAUUUUCUCAUUUGAAGUACUUCGGGUUUCUUACUGGUUCCCGUUAAGAUCUUCUUGGUUUAACACAAGCUUGCUCUGGUACAAUAGUUUUGGACCUCAAUUAAGGUAAAAAUUGUGAUAUAUGACAUUACAUACUUGGACAUCCUUUACAGUCCAGGUUAGACAUUCUUUCAGGUGUUUUGAUGAUUAAGAAUUAUAAG
Molecule: long non-coding RNA, 240 nt
Filed under: Carica papaya (papaya)
Lineage: Eukaryota; Viridiplantae; Streptophyta; Magnoliopsida; Brassicales; Caricaceae
Description: long non-coding RNA (CPAP_LNC006491)
Source: RNAcentral